Molecule: ribosomal RNA, 904 nt
Filed under: Niveoporofomes spraguei
Lineage: Eukaryota; Fungi; Basidiomycota; Agaricomycetes; Polyporales; Fomitopsidaceae
Description: partial large subunit ribosomal RNA
Rfam family: Eukaryotic large subunit ribosomal RNA
Source: RNAcentral
GGAAAAGAAACUAACAAGGAUUCCCCUAGUAACUGCGAGUGAAGCGGGAAAAGCUCAAAUUUAAAAUCUGGCGGCCUUUGGCCGUCCGAGUUGUAGUCUGGAGAAGUGCUUUCCGCGCUGGACCGUGUACAAGUCUCUUGGAACAGAGCGUCAUAGAGGGUGAGAAUCCCGUCUUUGACAUGGACUACCAGUGCUUUGUGAUGCGCUCUCAAAGAGUCGAGUUGUUUGGGAAUGCAGCUCAAAAUGGGUGGUAAAUUCCAUCUAAAGCUAAAUAUUGGCGAGAGACCGAUAGCGAACAAGUACCGUGAGGGAAAGAUGAAAAGCACUUUGGAAAGAGAGUUAAACAGUACGUGAAAUUGCUGAAAGGGAAACGCUUGAAGUCAGUCGCGUUGGCCGGGACUCAGCCUUGCUUUUUUGCUUGGUGCAUUUUCCGGUUGACGGGCCAGCAUCGAUUUUGACCGCUGGAAAAAGGUUGAGGGAAUGUGGCACCUCCGGGUGUGUUAUAGCCUUCAGUCACAUACAGUGGUUGGGAUCGAGGACCGCAGCACGCCUUUUAUGGCCGGGGUUCGCCCACGUUCGUGCUUAGGAUGCUGGCAUAAUGGCUUUAAACGACCCGUCUUGAAACACGGACCAAGGAGUCUAACAUGCCUGCGAGUGUUUGGGUGGAAAACCCGAGCGCGUAAUGAAAGUGAAAGUUAGGAUCCCUAUCGUGGGGAGCACUGACGCCCGGACCUGAACUUCGGUGAUGGAUCUGCGGUAAACAUGGUAUUUUUGGGACCCGAAAGAUGGUGAACUAUGCCUGAAUAGGGUGAAGCCAGAGGAAACUCUGGUGGAGGCUCGUAGCGAUUCUGACGUGCAAAUCGAUCGUCAAAUUUGGGUAUAGGGGCGAAAGACUAAUCGAACC